UGUUUUUUUAACUUCUGAGUUUCUGAAGAACCCCAAACUUCUGAAUCUGUGCAUGGCAGACUCGCUCCCAUCCUUGUUUCAGGGUUUGUCCAAAUCUUUUGCACACCCUUAUCCAAUACCUUCUACAUUCAAAGCAUACCAUUCAGCUUUGGUCAGUUCCCCAAACAAGAAAUGUAUCUGUGCAGUUGCUCCCUCCAUUAAAGUUAGUGGUGACAUCCACAUAUGCGUGAGUUCUGUGCACACAAGAAAUCAUUGUUAUCAGGCCAAAAAUCUAUCUCCCUUCUGUAACAUUUACCUGGCAUCAAACAAUCCUAUUUACUUGUCAUUUUUGUAAGUAUCAGGGUUAUGUUUCCCUUAACAAAAUACAAGGGGAAAUGUGGUGUGGCACAGUGGUUAAGUUGUUUGGUUGAGAAACAAGGUCAAAUCUCCACCCAACCACAAAGUCAGUGGUGGCUGGUGCUCAUUUGGAUGGAAGUAGGGAGCCCAACAGCAGGUGGAGUCAGUGCCGAUGACAAGCAGAGAGUCAACUAUUUCUAGAUUUGUUCCCAUCCUCCUCCCUGCUGAAUUAUUCAAGGGCAACAUUGAAAUUAAUGAGAAGCAAGCUGGCAGUCAGUCCCACGCCCUGGACUGGAUGUAAGUAAGAAGGCAGGAAGGUUAGGGCAGACUAAGCUUGAUGUGGCAGUGUCACAUCAGCCUUAAUGGGCCAGCCUACACUGCACAAAGUGUGUUGGAUGUGCUUCAGGCAGCCACGGUCUCUCAGCAUAAACUACCCCAUAGGGUUGCUGCUGCUGUGAUGAGAUCUUUGGUGAAAAGGGUGGAACAAAAAUAUUAAUUAUUAAUAGUAUGUAAAUUGGAGGUGAACAGGUGAGGUGCUACAUCAUGAUUAUUAAUGGAGAUUAAGUGGAGUGGGGGGUUAACCUCGUUUAUCUUUGUACUGCAUUGCAAUGUUGUUUCUGUUGCAUGGGAAACUGUCUGUGAUGCACAGAUGAUCUAGCUAAAUUAGAAUUAAAAUUGGAUUUAAAAAAAUCCACUAAAAAUGUAAGGGGGUGCAAAAGGACAACACAAAGGGCAAUCUUUUAAAUUUUCAUUUCCAAUUCCAGCCAUUCUGAGCCAAAUGAAUAGAAAUCAGAUAAGGUUCAUUACAGCUGCAAUCCAUCCAGAAAAGCUGGAAUGGGGGCGAAAAAGGUCCUGGUACAUUAAUUUUUUCACAGUUGCUCUCUAGUAAAUAAUGUUCUCCUUACAAUUUAGACUCUCCAGGUCUAAGCUCAUGGGACUUCACAUUUGAAGCUGGAAUUCUGAGCAAUAGAAGCAAAGAUUUAUUUUCUUCCCCAGAAUGGGUGGGGGUGUGAUAAGGCGUCCCCUUCCUUUCCAAAGAAUCAAAACAUCCAAUCCUCAUUUAUUUAUUUUGAUUUCAAAUGUUGGGGUCCCGUGCUGAUGCCCUCAAAAUGAGGAAACAAGGACAUUAGUCAAAUGUAGAGUGAACCAAGUGAAGAAUCAAAUUUGUGAUAAACUACCAUGCCUUCAUUUUCCCUUCAUACUUGGAAGACACUAGGUUCUGAGUGAGUAUGCCUCAUUUAGCAACCUGCAAUUCACAAUUUGAUGCUGACGGCACGACUUGAACAGAAAGCAAGAGCUGUAUUAAGAAGAUUUGAGACCUAUUGUGAGCUGUGUGAUCAACAGAGGCAUGUGGUCCAGCAGCUCUUGCUGGAUUCUACCACUCCAAAAUGGGCAUGUUAGGAGGAGGAUGGAGGGAGCCAACUUAUUUCAAAGGUUUGUUUUAUAACAGGGGAGGCAGGAACUAAACAGAAAAAAAAAACCCAUAGCAUGGUAAUUGAAAAUUUAGGUGACAAUCCUUCCCUAUGUCAUUCUUAUUUUCAAUACAAUAGAUUUUAAAUGGAAGGAGUAUGCAAACAUGCAAUUCUGCAGCAAUGGAAUUCUAAAGCAGUGGUGGGGCCACAUUCAUUUCUGAGCAACCUUCUGAGGGCCACAUGUCAGUGGCUGGAGGAGCCAGAAACCAAAUAUGGGUAGGGCAAUUAAUAGAAUUUUUUCUUAUGUACAAUAGGCUAGUUAAUUCACACAUACUCAUGCCUCUCUCUCUUUCCUCCAUCCAGGUAAGCAAGAGUUCAAGGGAGCAUUUCAGCCAGAUAAGGACACUCAGGGAUGGUGCAAAGCUGGGCUAGGGAGGGAAUGUGGGUGAGGAGGAAUUAUGGUCUGGGGUGAGCCUCAGGAGCGAGAUAGGGAGGACUAAAGGGCCACAUUUGCCUUCCUGGGCUUUGGCUUCCCUAACUCUCUUCUAAAGCCUUACAGUCAAGCAAAAGCUGCAUCACAUUGUGUCAGAGAGUCUGUGCUGAGCCUUAAGUAGCAGAAUGCAAAACAAAGUCCUUGGACAAUUUUUGGAAAGGAUGUUGGGUGAUUGUAUGUCACUCUAUGCAUGCUCAAAGGAAUUUACUAUGGCUUUAAAUGUUCUGGGUUUGUAUCUUGACAUUUAAAAUUCAGUCCAGUGCUUAACCCUGGCUCACAUUAGCCCCUGCUGCUGUUCCUGUCCUUUGUUCUUAAGGGCUGUGUUUCCUUCAGUUCCUUCAUUUGGCAAAUACAUUAAGCUAGAAGGUAGUCUGAAUCAAGGCUCUUUCAAAGUCUUUCUUAUGUCUCAGGAGGCUUCCUGCACUGCCUUAGCAGCAGCUGUAUCAAAACUAAUCUGAGUCAUUACAAUUUAGGAUCAGAUUGGCUAGAGAUAAGAUAACUCUGGUUUAUAAUAACCUAUAAAGAUUUAUGACGAUUUAUUCACCUUCCCUAGGUAACAGGCUGCUCAUCCCCAGCAGACCCACAGCUCUUUUCUGUUAAAAGGUCACUGAAGAAAGAACUCUGAAAUGGCAGAAAAUAAAACCACUAAUCGGCACAUUUCUAAUAAAACUAUCAUGCCUGCUAGAACCAGAGGGACAUCAAAUGCUAACAAUUUCACAUCCCAUGUGGCACCAUCUCUUGAAAGGACUAACAAGAUGGGUUUUUCAUGCAGUACUCCAAUAAAUCAAGG
Non-coding RNA from Podarcis lilfordi (Lilford's wall lizard), 3031 nucleotides. Lineage: Eukaryota; Metazoa; Chordata; Lepidosauria; Squamata; Lacertidae. The record is from the annotation of a GenBank genome assembly.